Molecule: transfer RNA, 77 nt
Filed under: Roseivirga misakiensis
Lineage: Bacteria; Pseudomonadati; Bacteroidota; Cytophagia; Cytophagales; Roseivirgaceae
Description: tRNA-Lys(ttt)
Rfam family: tRNA
About the family: Transfer RNA (tRNA) molecules are approximately 80 nucleotides in length.
Source: RNAcentral
GGGUCCGUAGCUCAACUGGAUAGAGCUCCCGGCUUUUACCCGGGAGGUUCCGAGUUCGAACCUCGGCGGGCCCACCA